Molecule: transfer RNA, 115 nt
Filed under: Pseudomonas typographi
Lineage: Bacteria; Pseudomonadati; Pseudomonadota; Gammaproteobacteria; Pseudomonadales; Pseudomonadaceae
Description: tRNA-OTHER
Source: RNAcentral
GGGCCUACAGCUAUGCCGACCUACAUUCACCUACGAACGAAUUCUCUAGGCAUAGCACGUCGCCUAGCAACUCAUAAUCCUUUGGUCCACGGUUCGAGUCCGUGUGGGCCCACCA